CCAUUUUAGGCGAGUGCUCUAGUACAGUAGAGGCCCCCAACGGCAAUAUUCUCCCAGCCCACUUUGAUCUUUUUUGGAGCCACUGCUGCAGCCAACAAGUUGGUGCUGGUUCUCCGUUUUCUGAGUCUAUAUGGCUGAGACUGGGGAUGGAAGUCGUUUGCCAUCACCCCUUGAUGUGCUGAGUUCAGAUGUUCACUCCAGGCUGGAGUUCCACAAGUAUGCCUACAUUGACUGUGUUGGCAUAAAAAAAUGUGCUUGAUUGUGUCAUCGAAAAAAAGGUAAAGCUCCAGCAAGAACAGAAUGGUAAGUACUGUUUUGUGUCCUUCACACUAAUAAUUCUGAUUAGGUCAUAAAUGUGUCAUCUUUAUUUAUUACUUCAUAAGAAUGUCAGAGACAUAAUUUAAAAUUGUUAGUUCCUAAGAAGAUCAUGCCACCGAAGAUGAAUUAUGGUGGCAUAACAAAAUAGGAUAAUCUGAAAAGCAAGAUU
Molecule: long non-coding RNA, 487 nt
Organism: Lolium perenne
Lineage: Eukaryota; Viridiplantae; Streptophyta; Magnoliopsida; Poales; Poaceae
Source: RefSeq, a predicted model, not a curated record